RNAcentral lists this ribosomal RNA (253 nucleotides) under uncultured bacterium. RNAcentral describes it as "partial 16S ribosomal RNA". It matches the Rfam family "Bacterial small subunit ribosomal RNA", at positions 524 to 776 of the family's 1533-position model. The record is from RNAcentral.
UACGUAGGGUGCGAGCGUUAAUCGGAAUUACUGGGCGUAAAGCGUGCGCAGGCGGUUCGUUAUGUCUGGUGUGAAAGCCCCGGGCUCAACCUGGGAAUGGCAUUUGGGACUGCAAGGCUGGAGUUUGGCAGAGGAGACUGGAAUUCCCGGUGUAGCAGUGAAAUGCGUAGAUAUCGGGAGGAAUACCGAUGGCGAAGGCAGGUCUCUGGGCUAUAACUGACGCUCAUGCACGAAAGCGUGGGGAGCAAACAGG